GGGCGCAAGCCUGAUCCAGCAAUACCGCGUGUGUGAAGAAGGCCCUAGGGUUGUAAAGCACUUUCAAUAGGGAGGAAAACCUGCCGGUCAAUACCCGGUAGCUUGACAUUACCUAUAGAAGAAGCACCGGCUAACUCCGUGCCAGCAGCCGCGGUAAUACGGAGGGUGCAAGCGUUAAUCGGAAUUACUGGGCGUAAAGCGUGCGUAGGCGGUUCGUUAAGUCAGAUGUGAAAGCCCUGGGCUCAACCUGGGAACUGCAUUUGAAACUGGCGGACUAGAGUUGAGUAGAGGGGAGUGGAAUUUCAGGUGUAGCGGUGAAAUGCGUAGAUAUCUGAAGGAACACCAGUGGCGAAGGCGACUCCCUGGACUCAAACUGACGCUGAGGUACGAAAGCGUGGGUAGCAAACAGGAUUAGAUACCCUGGUAGUCCACGCCGUAAACGAUGUCAACUAGCCGUUGGUCCUAUUUACAGGAUUAGUGGCGCAGCUAACGCAUUAAGUUGACCGCCUGGGGAGUA
Molecule: ribosomal RNA, 517 nt
Filed under: uncultured bacterium
Lineage: Bacteria
Description: bacterial SSU rRNA
Rfam family: Bacterial small subunit ribosomal RNA
Source: RNAcentral